GCGCGCCUAGUGUAACGGUAGCAUGCAGGUUUCCAAAACUUGCGGUGUUGGUUCAAAUCCAGCGGCGCGGCG
RNAcentral lists this transfer RNA (72 nucleotides) under Neorhizobium galegae. Its description in RNAcentral is "tRNA-Trp". It matches the Rfam family "tRNA". Rfam says of the family: Transfer RNA (tRNA) molecules are approximately 80 nucleotides in length. Their secondary structure includes four short double-helical elements and three loops (D, anti-codon, and T loops). Further hydrogen bonds mediate the characteristic L-shaped molecular structure. tRNAs have two regions of fundamental functional importance: the anti-codon, which is responsible for specific mRNA codon recognition, and the 3' end, to which the tRNAs corresponding amino acid is attached (by aminoacyl-tRNA synthetases). tRNAs cope with the degeneracy of the genetic code in two manners: having more than one tRNA (with a specific anti-codon) for a particular amino acid; and 'wobble' base-pairing, i.e. permitting non-standard base-pairing at the 3rd anti-codon position. Lineage: Bacteria; Pseudomonadati; Pseudomonadota; Alphaproteobacteria; Hyphomicrobiales; Rhizobiaceae. The record is from RNAcentral.